CUUUGAGAUCGGGCUUGCGUCGAGUUUUCUGUGACUCGACUCGCGCCUUCUGCUUUUGUUUUCAGCGACGCAUUCUGGAGGAAAGUUGGCAGCAAACCGCGGCUCGGGCAUCGUAGCGGGUUCUUCGAAGGCGGCCAUAUGCAGCCUUUCCAGGGCGAGGGAACCUUCAAACAGCCUCUACACAGCUCUUACCCCCAUCUGUGCUGCGCUGUGGCCACGCCCCCAUCUGUGCUGUGCUGUGGCCACGCCCUGUCUGCACUGUGGCCAUGCCCACUAUAUACACUGUGGCCACGCCUCCAUCUGCACUGUGACCACGCCCUCAUCUGUGCUGCACUGUGGCCACGCCCCCCAUCUGUGCUGUGCUGUGGCCACGCCCCCCAUCUGUGCUGUGCUGUGGCCACGCCCCCCAUCUGUGCUGUGCUGUGGCCACGCCCUGUCUGCACUGUGGCCAUGCCCACUAUAUACACUGUGGCCACGCCUCCAUCUGCACUGUGACCACGCCCCCAUCUGUGCUGUGACCACGCCCCCAUCUGUGCUGCACUGUGGCCAUGCCCCCAUCUGUGCUGUGACCACGCCCCCAUCUGUGCUGCACUGUGGCCAUGCCCCCAUCUGUGCUGUGACCACGCCCCCAUCUGUGCUGCACUGUGGCCACACCCCCGUCUGCAGUGUGGCCACGCCCCCUCUGAGCAUCAUCGUGUGCAGUCAGUGUCCGAAGAACACGGCUGUGCCAUGUGUGGGACCUCCCUGAGCAGCCAGAGCAUAGGAGGACGUCACGUCUUGAGGUCUGGAGGUCCCUAACACCCUCUGAAGGGUAUGUAAGAGCAUUGUCAUGACAACAGGGACUUGAGGUGACCCAGCCCCGCCUCCUCUUGGGAGAUACAAAAGCCACGUAUUCAUCCGUCUGCCCCCCUGUAUCACUCUCUCCAUCUCCGCUCA
Molecule: long non-coding RNA, 936 nt
Organism: Anguilla rostrata (American eel)
Lineage: Eukaryota; Metazoa; Chordata; Actinopteri; Anguilliformes; Anguillidae
Exons: 3
Source: RefSeq, a predicted model, not a curated record